Molecule: ribosomal RNA, 253 nt
Filed under: uncultured bacterium
Lineage: Bacteria
Description: partial 16S ribosomal RNA
Rfam family: Bacterial small subunit ribosomal RNA
Source: RNAcentral
UACGUAGGGGGCUAGCGUUGUCCGGAAUCAUUGGGCGUAAAGCGCGCGUAGGCGGCCCGGUAAGUCCGCUGUAAAAGUCCAGGGCUCAACCCUGGAACGCCGGUGGAUACUGUCGGGCUAGAGUCCGGAAGAGGCGAGUGGAAUUCCUGGUGUAGCGGUGGAAUGCGCAGAUAUCAGGAGGAACACCGAUGGCGAAGGCAGGUCUCUGGGCCACUACUGACGCUGAGAAGCGAAAGCGUGGGGAGCGAACAGG